This 92-nucleotide transfer RNA is filed under the name Microdochium bolleyi. RNAcentral's name for it is "tRNA-Pro". It matches the Rfam family "tRNA". Rfam says of the family: Transfer RNA (tRNA) molecules are approximately 80 nucleotides in length. Their secondary structure includes four short double-helical elements and three loops (D, anti-codon, and T loops). The record is from RNAcentral. Lineage: Eukaryota; Fungi; Ascomycota; Sordariomycetes; Xylariales; Microdochiaceae.
GGUCUGGUGGUCUAGUGGUAUGAUUCUCGCUUAGGGUCCACCCUAUAGCUACUGCAUGCGAGAGGUCCCGGGUUCAAUCCCCGGCCAGACCC